RNAcentral lists this ribosomal RNA (465 nucleotides) under Vreelandella stevensii. RNAcentral's name for it is "partial 16S ribosomal RNA". It matches the Rfam family "Bacterial small subunit ribosomal RNA", at positions 338 to 795 of the family's 1533-position model. Lineage: Bacteria; Pseudomonadati; Pseudomonadota; Gammaproteobacteria; Oceanospirillales; Halomonadaceae. The record is from RNAcentral.
CCUACGGGAGGCUGCAGUGGGGAAUAUUGGACAAUGGGGGGAACCCUGAUCCAGCCAUGCCGCGUGUGUGAAGAAGGCCCUCGGGUUGUAAAGCACUUUCAGUGAGGAAGAACGCCUGGUGGUUAAUACCCAUCAGGAAAGACAUCACUCACAGAAGAAGCACCGGCUAACUCCGUGCCAGCAGCCGCGGUAAUACGGAGGGUGCGAGCGUUAAUCGGAAUUACUGGGCGUAAAGCGCGCGUAGGUGGCUUGAUAAGCCGGUUGUGAAAGCCCCAGGCUCAACCUGGGAACGGCAUCCGGAACUGUCAAGCUAGAGUGCAGGAGAGGAAGGUAGAAUUCCCGGUGUAGCGGUGAAAUGCGUAGAGAUCGGGAGGAAUACCAGUGGCGAAGGCGGCCUUCUGGACUGACACUGACACUGAGGUGCGAAAGCGUGGGUAGCAAACAGGAUUAGAUACCCGGGUAGUC